GAUGAACGCUGGCGGCGUGCCUAAUACAUGCAAGUCGAGUGAACGGACGAGAAGCUUGCUUCUCUGAUGUUAGCGGCGGACGGGUGAGUAACACGUGGAUAACCUACCUAUAAGACUGGGAUAACUUCGGGAAACCGGAGCUAAUACCGGAUAAUAUUUUGAACCGCAUGGUUCAAAAGUGAAAGACGGUCUUGCUGUCACUUAUAGGUGGAUCCGCGCUGCAUUAGCUAGUUGGUAAGGUAACGGCUUACCAAGGCAACGAUGCAUAGCCGACCUGAGAGGGUGAUCGGCCACACUGGAACUGAGACACGGUCCAGACUCCUACGGGAGGCAGCAGUAGGGAAUCUUCCGCAAUGGGCGAAAGCCUGACGGAGCAACGCCGCGUGAGUGAUGAAGGUCUUCGGAUCGUAAAACUCUGUUAUUAGGGAAGAACAUAUGUGUAAGUAACUGUGCACAUCUUGACGGUACCUAAUCAGAAAGCCACGGCUAACUACGUG
This 497-nucleotide ribosomal RNA is filed under the name uncultured bacterium. RNAcentral describes it as "partial 16S ribosomal RNA". It matches the Rfam family "Bacterial small subunit ribosomal RNA", at positions 28 to 507 of the family's 1533-position model. The record is from RNAcentral.